This 1436-nucleotide long non-coding RNA is filed under the name Equus asinus (donkey). RNAcentral describes it as "lncRNA (ENSEASG00005029683.1)". Lineage: Eukaryota; Metazoa; Chordata; Mammalia; Perissodactyla; Equidae. The record is from RNAcentral.
CAGGAACUCAAGUCUACACAAAGAAAUAAUGACCAUUAAAGCUAAUGAGAAACAGGCUGUCUGGAAAUGUGUCUCGGAGGAAAAUACGGAGCAGAUCUUUAGAAAAUAAAGCUCUCUAGAUUGAUUGAAAAGAUAACAUUUGGUAACACGUUGUAAGCAAAACAUAAUAUCAAGGUGAAAAGAAGGCAAAUCAGAUAUAAAAUUCACUUGGAUGUGUCAACUUGAACUUUGGACGGAGCAAGUAAAGAUAUUGCGAUUUUGGAAAAAAUGUAAUGAAGUAUGAUGGAAAAUUGUCAGGAAUUUAAAAAUGUUUUCCAUUUGAUUGCUGAAGAACAUGAGUUUUGAAGACAUCGCAUAUGGACUUUUCAAAGACUAUAAAUGCUGAACUGCUUUGUGAAUCUUCAUGAGGAGGGAUACACUGGGGGAUCGUGUUCAGAUAUAUUUGGCCAUGAAACCCUUCAUUGAAUAGCAGCUCUCAGGAGGAGUGAAUCAAGGGAUGCAGUGUGGGAAACUGAUCACAAUGGACAAGUAACCUCAGUGAUGUAAAGGAUGCACAAUGUCUGAACUUAUUCUGCAUGAUCAAUGAUUGUGAGAUCCUUCAGGUCGCCAUCAAAUGGAAUCUCAGGAACAAGAACAAGGCAUGUCAUGCAGAUUUAUCAUUGAUAUCUGACUACAUACUUUCAGAUUUAGAACAUGUUAUUUGGAUUUCUUCAAAUAAAUAUCACAUUCAAAAAUGUGGUAUAUCACAAUUGAUAUAUCAGCAAAUGAAAUACCUCCAAAGAGUAAGUCUCAAAUAAUAAACACGGUGUUGAGAACUCCAUCAAUCACUUUUAAGCUGUGCUGCGACGCCUCGCUCUCCCUGGGACCUCACGAUACCACUCUUGAGGGAAGAUACAAGAAGAGGCCCAGUCUCUCUCUGGAACGUGAAGAACAGGAUGGGAUCUAAGAUGUGCUAAGUAGCUCAAGUGUAACCAUCACCCUAUGCUUGAGUCACCCAUCUGAGAAUUCCCAGGGCAAUGCUCAGCAUCACGGGAAACCAAGAAAUACUCAAAACAUUCUCAAGAUCUGAAAAUGAAACCGAACAGAGUCCGAUUAUAAGUGAGGUGAAAGGAGUAGGAGCAGAGGACCUGGAAGAACCUGUGGCCCGUGAGCCCUCCUGAAGAGUCUGCAAUCAUCACUCCGUUUUCAUCCUGGGAGAGUGGCUUCUCCUGCCUGCUGGUUCAAGGAAUCUGGAGAUUUCCCUUCUUCCUAUAGCAAAGCCAGGCUUAAUAAACAUGUGCUAUUUUCUCUAGAAUCCUUAGGUGUUUGUGGUUAGAAGGUUUCAGGGUAGCCAGAACUGGCAUGUUGCUAGGUACAGAAUCCAUGCAGUUGAAUAUGUCUUAUAAUUAUCUACCAGCUUCUACUAAAAUAUCUCUACUGGGCUAGAACUAUAUAGG